GGGCAAUUAGCUCAGUUGGUUAGAGCGCGGCAUUGACAUUGCCGAGGUCAGAGGUUCAACUCCUCUAUUGCCCA
RNAcentral lists this transfer RNA (74 nucleotides) under Patescibacteria group bacterium. Its description in RNAcentral is "tRNA-Val". It matches the Rfam family "tRNA". Rfam says of the family: Transfer RNA (tRNA) molecules are approximately 80 nucleotides in length. Their secondary structure includes four short double-helical elements and three loops (D, anti-codon, and T loops). The record is from RNAcentral.